This 253-nucleotide ribosomal RNA is filed under the name uncultured bacterium. RNAcentral's name for it is "partial 16S ribosomal RNA". It matches the Rfam family "Bacterial small subunit ribosomal RNA", at positions 524 to 776 of the family's 1533-position model. The record is from RNAcentral.
UACGUAGGGCGCAAGCGUUGUCCGGAAUUAUUGGGCGUAAAGAGCUCGUAGGCGGUUUGUUGCGUCGGCUGUGAAAUCCCGAGGCUCAACCUCGGGUCUGCAGUCGAUACGAGCAAACUAGAGUGUUGCAGGGGAGACUGGAAUUCCUGGUGUAGCGGUGAAAUGCGCAGAUAUCAGGAGGAACACCGGUGGCGAAGGCGGGUCUCUGGGCAACAACUGACGCUGAGGAGCGAAAGCCAGGGGAGCAAACGGG